RNAcentral lists this unclassified non-coding RNA (145 nucleotides) under soil metagenome. RNAcentral describes it as "partial internal transcribed spacer 1". The record is from RNAcentral.
UAAUAAGUGUUUUAUGGCACUCUUUAAAUCCAUAUCCACCUUGUGUGCAAUGUCAGUCGAUCUUCUUCAUGGAGAUCGACCAAACAUCAACCUUUAUCUUUUAACUCUUUGUCUGAAAAAUAUUAUGAAUAAACAAUUCAAAAUA